AACGAAUAAAUACUAUAUUUUAUCCGAAACGAGGAAAACCAAAGUUUUACCUUUUAUUUUACAAAUAAAACAGAAAUAAAAAAUAAAUAUUAACUUCAUAAUAUAUACCAACAAUAAAAUAUCUAUAUAUAUAGCUCUGCACCGCGGUUUCACCCGGUUAAUUUGGAAAAAAAAUUGCCUAUAGCCUUCCUCGAUAAACGGGCUAUCUAUCACUGAAAGAAUUUUUCAAAUUCGACUAGUAGUUCUUGAGCUUAAUGCGUGUGUGUCAGACAAACAAACAAACAAACAAACUCAUCGGCUUUAUAACAUUAGUAUAGAUUAACAUAAUCGUAGGAAAGUUGUGUCAUAAAAUAUAACUAAUACAUAAGAGUAUAAUAUAUUGACUAGUCUCGAACUCGAGCGUCGCGAGGGCUACAGAAUACUAAGAGUACGGGCAAGUAUCAAAACUAAACGCACGCCUACAUCUCGCCCAACUACCUCACCAUAUGAGCAAUGACUGUUAAAAACUAGUGUAAAUUUCCGAAAAUCUACAAAAAUACUUCGAUAACCCUGUCGUAUUUAACUUUGCAGCACCGACGUACACUUAACUAUAAUGUAAAACAGAUGCGGACGUAGUGAUCGUACAGAAAAGAUAUCUCUUAGCAAUCAUAAACAAGAAUUUUUCUAUAUUGUGACCACGAUCACGACAGGACACAUUGGUCGUACGGAAAAGUAAUCUCUUACGGUCGAUUUCAAUAAUCUAUCUAUCGCUGCUUUUGUUUUCUAGCGUUAGGUUUAGUUUAGGACACAAUUUGUAUGGAAUUUACAUUAAAAUUCUAUCUCUAGUAAGCAUGUAAUUCAGAGAUAGAGUGUUGAAACUAGCCGCUAGUGACCAUAAACAAGAAUUUU
RNAcentral lists this unclassified non-coding RNA (888 nucleotides) under Melitaea cinxia (Glanville fritillary). RNAcentral describes it as "misc RNA ENSMCXG00005011940.1". The record is from RNAcentral. Lineage: Eukaryota; Metazoa; Arthropoda; Insecta; Lepidoptera; Nymphalidae.